GCCCCAGUGGCCUAAUGGAUAAGGCACUGGCCUCCUAAGCCAGGGAUUGAGGGUUCGAGUCCCUUCUGGGGGG
RNAcentral lists this transfer RNA (73 nucleotides) under Salmo salar (Atlantic salmon). It matches the Rfam family "tRNA". From Rfam's summary of the family: Transfer RNA (tRNA) molecules are approximately 80 nucleotides in length. Their secondary structure includes four short double-helical elements and three loops (D, anti-codon, and T loops). The record is from Rfam by way of RNAcentral. Lineage: Eukaryota; Metazoa; Chordata; Actinopteri; Salmoniformes; Salmonidae.